Molecule: non-coding RNA, 11854 nt
Organism: Sus scrofa (pig)
Lineage: Eukaryota; Metazoa; Chordata; Mammalia; Artiodactyla; Suidae
Source: RefSeq, a predicted model, not a curated record
UUCCUGGAUCAAAAUCUGCGCAGGUAGAAGAGCAGCAGGAGAAACAGCCCCAGAUACCUGCGCGCCCGGGCGCGCAGCCUCGCGAGAUCCGCCGGGUUGCCGGGGCGACGCUUCCGCCUGGCGCGCGCAGACCUGGGAGCAGAGGAGUUGUGAAAUAGGCGGCUAGACCGGCCCGCUGUCGUGAAUUCGCCAGCGGGAGCGCGCUCGCGGCCGCGCGUUCUCCGCUUUCCCAGCUCCGUAGCUGACGCGUCGUAGACGUUGGGGAGCAGGCGGCAGCGGCAGCGGGGUCGGGAUGAACAGCGGCGGCGGCUUCGGUUUGGGAUUAGGCUUCGGCCUCACCCCUACGGCGGUGAUUCAGGUGACGAAUCUGUCGUCGGCGGUGACCAGCGAGCAGAUGCGGACGCUUUUUUCCUUCCUAGGAGAAAUCGAGGAGCUGCGUCUCUACCCCCCGGACAACGCACCUCUUGCUUUUUCUUCCAAAGUAUGUUAUGUUAAGUUUCGUGACCCAUCAAGUGUUGGCGUGGCCCAGCAUCUAACUAACACGGUUUUUAUUGACAGAGCUCUGAUAGUUGUUCCUUGUGCAGAAGGUUGGUAUCUCACGUGUUUUUUCCUAAUUAUUUUAAUCUCUGUCCUAUCUGUUACUACUAUUGGCUUUUCUAGAAAUUGGCAGGUAGUAUUCUGAAGGGGUGUGUGUGUAUGUAAGUAAGAAAGAAUGAAAUUUGGGGAAGGAAAGGAUUUUACCUAAUAUAUUUAAAUGGUUAAUUUAUUACAUCUACUUGAGAUUUUAUAGCUGAACAUUUAAAAAUUCAUAAAUUGACUUCUCUGGUUUGCUUUGGCUUCUAUAUUCCAUUUGCAAGUUGUAAACAAAGCUUUUUGAAAUUAAAAUAUUAAGUUUGUAGGAGAAGUUAUUUAAAAUGGUAAGUAAGUAAGCAUCUGCCCCUAUAUUGAUGAUAGCACAUACAUAAAAGCAGUGUACAUGUUUUGCCAAAUUGGGGUUAGGUAGUAAUAUUUAUGUUUAAGAAAAAUAUUCAUAAUUUAGACUUUAAAGUGUCCUCUUAAGAUAAUUUACCUUAAUUGUUACUGAGACUGACCAUUAUUUCAUACUCAGUAUAAUAGUUUGCUGUGCAACUGGAAUUUACUUUUUAACUUUAGUGGUUUUUUUUGUGGGGAGUGAGGGGUUGCUGGUGGUGGCCGUAAUUAAAGAAAAGUCAUGGAAAGUAUAUUUUCCAAAGCUUCCAUCAAGGAAAAUAGUUAUUGAAGGUGGGAGUAAGGCCAAAGACUUUAUAGUGAUUUGUUAAAUUUUAUGACUUAACCUUCAAGAGCUAAUUAUUAUUAAUGCUUAUUUUUUAGUAACUUCUAUUUACAGAGCCACUCACAUAUAAUAGGCUGUGCUGAAUUUGACUGUUCUGGUGUGUAAUUAACUUUUAUUCAGAGCACUGACUAUGGCAUGUGUACAUGGAUUUUAGAAUUGCGUUAUUAUAAUAUAAAUGUCUUUAAAGUAUAUUUUCACUGGUGGCUGGUGGUAACUGUUUUACAAUAUAAAAGAUUUACUGGAAACAAUUUAACGAGCUUUCCUAUGUAAUAUUUUAAAACCUUUUUUAGAUGAUAUUGGACUGAUGUUAAAAAAACUUAAUGUAUAAUAAACAGUUUGUUGCACUUCCAAGGUUUUAUUGAUAUUUCAGAAUGCCUAUUCUGGGAUGUCAAAAAUAUUACAGUCAGGUACAGUGAGUACCACUCUGUUAUUUUUGAAGUCUUGGAAUAGGACAUUCUGGAUUUUUUCAGAUAAAUUUGAAAGUAUUUUUCCCAUGCCUGAGGGAUUAGAGUCUGGGGUAAGGAGAAUAAAAAUGGAUUUAAGUGAAUUAUUUGCUAAAUCUGUCCUUAUCUAUUAAUCAGUAAGGGGACAAUGACCCCAGAAUUGGAGAACAAGGUGAGGAAAGAGCUGGUAAUGGUUUUGUUCUGCAUACCAAGAUCAUGACCAAUUUCAUACCAAGUAACCUGCAUGGGAAAAAAAAAAUCAGGUAGCAGAUAUAUUAAAUAUGAAUAUUAAUUGUAUCUAGAGUUACACCACCAGUAGCACAGAAUCUGUGAUAUCAGCCUACUCCUGAACUGGAAGGAAGAAAUUUACUAUUGUUGCUCUGUUUGAACCUUCCUACAUUCCCAUAGAAUUUUUCAUAUAUUUGAGAAGUGACUGUGGUUUGUCAUAGAUGUUCAAGAUUAUGGGCAUGUAGAGGUUCCUUUUUUUGUUUUACUUGGUAGAAAUGAAUAAAUGCACUUUUAUUAUAAUGACAUGAAUAUUUUUAAUAUUACCAUUUUGAGACAAAAUUUUGCUAUGCUUGAACAUGAGUCAAGAGUAUUUUUAUUCCAAUUUAAAAUUGUAAGUUUUAAGUAUUUUAGAAUACUAACCUAUGAAAUAAUUGGUAUUAGAAAAACAUUCAGAUAAAUGUUUUCAUUAAACAACAGUGAUGAAUUUAUAGAACCUGAAGAAUGUCGCAAUGAGCUGUUAAAGAUCUGAUUAUGCACUGCAAGCAAAGUAAUAAUGCAUUAUUGUACCUUUUAGAAGGAUAGCAAAGUAAGUUUGAAAUACAUCAAAGGAAAGAGUUCCAGUGGAGUAAAUUCUAUAAGGAGAUGUACUGUUAGGCUGUAAGCAGUCUUUCAUUUACUUCACUGAUUGUAUUCUUUCCUUGAUGUUACAGAAGCAGCGUUAUGAAAGAAGUGAGAAAACAGUAGAAAAAAUUUUAAGUUUUUUGAUUCUUUUAAUUUGCUGUUUUUUUUAAAUGCAGACAGUAGUAUUGUGAGAAGAUCCUAUGCUGUUUAAGUAUUGUUUGAUGUAUAAUAAUUUCCUACAUAUUAAGCAUUAGCUAUUGUUAAUAAAACAUGCCACUUCAAAAUAAAAUAUACUUUCAUUAUACUCGUCCAGAUAUGACCUCUUUUUGUUGUUGCGUGCAUCUCAGAUUUCUUUUUAUAAAUGUUAACACUUAGAAAAAUUUAAGAUCAAACAUAACAAGGGUGUCAGCCUAAUCAUCAGUCAUAAGUUUAUGUCCACAUUUUCUGGUAGAUGGAUUUUGACUAUUAAUUUGGUUUUGUAUGUUUUCUCUAUGUGAUAUUUGUGCAUUAUUAGAUGACUAGACUGGCCAAGGCAGACCUGUUACACUUGCCUGAGUUAGGCAUUGUUUGCCAUGCCACUAAACCUGCCGUCAAGUGAAACCUUCAUUGGGGAAAUGAGAUCGGAGUCUGAACCGCAGAAGAUGGACGCCCUGUCUCUGUUUUUUAUUGUUUUACUUUAAUUUCAUUUCUUUUUCUUUAUUUUGUCCCUUUUUUUGUUUUUGUUUUGUUUUGUUAAAUCUCUUUCACUUUAACUUGUGAGCUGGUUUUCCAGUUCUUUGUAAAUGGUAUUCCAUUAAGGGUUCAUAACAUUGCAUUGCAAAUUGUAUUGGGAGAUGAUUAGUAGAGAUCAACUUUAACAUAAAAUAAAUUUUCACAGUAAAUUAAGAUACAGUGUUGUGAAGCUCAGUGCUAGUCUUAAUUGGUGUUUAUAGACUGAUCAGGUACAUCUUGUUCUUGAAACACUAAAACACUGAUGAGGUUCUUAGAAACAUACUUUGAUCUCAGUGUAACAUUUUUGCAGUUUUUUCCCCAAGUCUGCAUCUUUCAUAAAGACCAACCAAUAGCUUCUAGUUUUCAUCCUCCCCCCCUUAGAAUUUUAGGUAUACAGAAUCAUCAAGGAAAAUAAAUAAAUUUCAUUAACAGUCUGGGGGUAGAGGACAAGAAGAGACUUUUCUAUUUAUGGUUAUUAAAGAAAAUAACUUAUAUUCUUCAUUUAAAGACACUUAGUUGCCUACGUGGGGAAAGGAUAUUUGAGAAACUGUUGAAUACUUACUUGCGUGUGUAUUUUGUAUUUCUUUGCUUGAAUUUUUUGUUGAGAAAUGUUCACACAUUACUAGUUUCUAAAUGGAUUCUGAAAUUAGGAUGAAUGAGAGGUUUUAUCUCUCAGUUGUCUUUGAGGAGUAUAGUUUGGGAAAAAUGAUAAGUGCUUAUUUGUUUAUAGUUUUAUGUGCUCUGAUAGUAUUUAGAGGGUAAAUUUGGAAGAAUUCUAUCUUGGAAAUUAAGCAGUGGAACUUUUUUCUUAAGGUAUCUUUAAUUAGAAUAAGAAAAAUAUUGUUCUUAGACUUAAUACUUACAAAGAGUUUAUUAGAUUCUGAGAGGUAGUGAGAUUAAGAGAACCUACUGAUACAUUUUUUUUUUUUAAGCCAGAAGUGAAAGACUUUGUAAUAUUAAGUAAUCAACUUUUGGCCUCUGUUGAUUACCCUUUUUGUUUGUGUAGUCUUUCUACACUGUCUUGUAUGGAUAGUUUUGUUUAUUUAAUUGACAAGUAAUAUUAAACUGAGGACAUUACUAGAUUGGAACUCUUUGUUUUUUAGGUGUAUAAAUUAGGAUAGUGAAGCAUAGGGUUUGCACCUUAGGACCUUAGUUGAUAUAUGAAGAUGUUUUCAGGUUUUACAAACAUUUAAAAAAAAAAAACCUAUUUCUAACAGAUAAAAAACAGGUCCGAUAGCAGUGUAAAUAGUAUAGUAUAUAUGAGUGUGCAGAUACAUGUGUUAAUGCUAAUAACUAAUUAAAUACAAAAUAAAUAUUGUUAUUUGAUGUCUUCAGUAAGGCCUGCUUACCUCUUAUUUACCUUUAUGCAUGUUAAAAAUUUUGCUUAUGCAGAAUUUACUGAGGUAAUAAAAUAACUGUUUUUGAAAUUAAAGUAAUAUAGAUUUAGAUGUUUAGAAAUAAGUAGGCAUUUGCUAAAGUUAAUAAAUGUAAUUUUUCUAUUCCUAUAAAUAACGUGUAACUAUUACUUAAAACAAUUGAAAAUUUUGUCUUGAAUUCCAUCCAUGUUUAGCAAUACAUUCAGAUCAUUUUUUUAGAGAUUUAUUCUUGCACAUCUGAUUGUUUUAAAUAGAAUUUUUAUCACUGAAACCCAGCAUGGUGCUUUUUGAAAAUUUACUCCAUAUGCUGUUUUCAAUUUAGUGUGACUUUGUACACUGUUUUCAGUUAAUUUUGAAGAAUUUAUAAUGGAAAUUUGUAGCCAACUAUCACAUAGCUAUGUUCUUCUAAAAUAGCUAUCUGUAGUCACCUUUUUAGAAAUUUUUUUUGGGGGGAUGGGGUUGUGAGAAAGGACCAGAGAAAAAUGUAUGAAAGUUGCAGUCUUUAUCAGAAUUAAUUGAUUAUAAUUCAGUAAUUAUGCAAAUUGAUGGACUUAAUUUCAGAGUAAAUUUUCAUUUAUUAGUUGUAGGGAUUUCUUAGUAUUUAGGAUUAUUUUAAUAUUACUGAUGUUCCUAUUACUAGGUAGGUAAGAUGCUUAUAAUCAAGGUAUUUAGGAAUAAACCACCCCAUUCAGUUAAGUAUACAUAAAUUGGUUCUAAAAGUCAAUUAGUUUCCUGAGACUAGGAAACAUUUUUUUCAAAAAUGUCAUCAGUUACCCAAUGCAUAUUCUUUGGAACUGGAUUCUUUUAUAAAGGCAUCUUGACAUUGCAGGUGAGAUGCUUUAUUAGCUGAAUGAGGGUAGGCUUCCUUUUCAUUUGGGGCUGAUUACUUGCUAUAGGCUUUUUUUUUCCUAUUUGAAAUUGAAUGGAAUCUAUUUAGAAGGUUACAAAAUUAUUUGCAUCACAAGUAGAUAGUUUCAAUGAACAGGAUAGGGACAUGCAGGAACAAAUUUCAAUUCGCACAUAUUUGUUUUUUUCUUUUUCUUUUUUUUGACUAAUUUGGUUAUUUGCCAUUUCUGGGGAUUAAACUUUAAAAAAUGUUCUUCUUUUCUGUAUCUGAUGUUCUGUGUGCUAUUAGUGAUGCAGCCAACACGAACGGUUGUCAUGUGUAACACAACUUUCGAUCACCGCGAAAACACCGUCCUGGGAAAGCGUCCAUGCUUGAUAUCGUUUGGUUCAUGAACAUUAAGUUUCCAGUACAGGUGACCCAUAGCUCAAAGUGUUAAAUAAUUGUCUACAUUAUUCAGUUUUUAAAAUAAUAUUCCAUUAAUGAGAUUGUUAGUCUUUGAAGUUUUGCUCACUUUUAUUUUUCCUAGUAGAGCAGGGUAAAAGGAAAGACUUAAGUUCUUAUUUAUUUCUUUAUACGGAUCUGAUAGAUAGAUUCAUUUAUUAUUAUAAUUUUUUAAGUGCAAGGGUAAUUGUAAAAUCAUAGUGUAAAGUUUGGUGUUUCUGCUUUCUGUAAUGUUUGGAACUUGCCUCUGCAGGUAAAAUCCCAGAGGAAGCCAAAGCCCUCUCUCUAUUGGCUCCUGCUCCAACCAUGACAGGUCUGAUGCCUGGUGCAGGCUUGCUUCCCAUCCCGACCCCAAAUCCCCUGACUACACUGGGUGUUUCCCUUAGCAGUUUGGGAGCUAUACCAGCAGCAGCACUAGACCCCAACAUUGCAACACUUGGAGAGAUACCACAGCCACCACUUAUGGGAAAUGUGGAUCCUUCCAAAAUUGAUGAAAUUAGGAGAACUGUCUAUGUUGGCAAUUUGAAUUCCCAGACAACCACAGCUGAUCAACUACUUGAAUUUUUUAAACAAGUUGGAGAAGUGAAGUUUGUGCGGAUGGCAGGUGAUGAGACUCAGCCGACUCGGUUUGCUUUUGUGGAAUUUGCAGACCAAAAUUCUGUACCAAGGGCCCUUGCUUUUAAUGGAGUUAUGUUUGGAGACAGGCCACUGAAAAUAAAUCACUCCAACAAUGCAAUAGUAAAACCCCCUGAGAUGACACCUCAGGCUGCAGCUAAGGAGUUAGAAGAAGUAAUGAAGCGAGUACGAGAGGCUCAGUCCUUUAUCUCAGCAGCUAUCGAACCAGGGUGGCUGCACUCAACGAGUUUAUGCAAUGACUUUCUUGGAUGUUUCUGAAGGAUAAUUGCACAGGAGGAGGAUGUACAGAGAGUAGGCCCCUUGCACUAUAUGUGGUACAUUCCACUUGUGCCUGAUUAUUAACUGGGAUCUUUAAUUGUUCUGAGCUUACACUGCAAAGUGGUUUUUUCCUCCCAGAGUCUGGAAAGAGCAAUGAAAGAAAAGGCGGUCGAUCUCGUUCCCACACUCGUUCAAAAUCCAGGUCUAGCUCAAAAUCCCGUUCUAGAAGGAAAAGAUCACAGUCAAAACACAGGAGUAGAUCUCAUAAUAGAUCACGUUCAAGACAAAAAGAUAGACGUAGAUCUAAGAGCCCCCAUAAAAAACGUUCUAAAUCAAGAGAAAGAAGGAAGUCAAGGAGUCGUUCGCGUUCACGGGACAAAAGAAAAGACACCCGAGAAAAAAUCAAGGAAAAGGAAAGAGUGAAAGAAAAAGAUAGAGAAAAGGAAAGGGAAAAAGAGAGAGACAGGGAAAAGGAACGUGAAAAAGAAAAGGAACGGGGUAAAAACAAAGAUAAAGACCGGGAUAAAGAACGGGAAAAGGACCGAGAUAAAGACAAGGAGAAGGACAGAGACAGAGAGCGGGAAAAAGAACAUGAAAAGGAACGAGACAAAGAGAAGGAGAAAGAACAGGACAAAGAAAAGGAACGAGAAAAGGACAGAUCUAAAGAGAUAGAUGAGAAGAGAAAGAAGGAUAAAAAGUCCAGAACACCACCCAGAAGUUACAAUGCAUCAAGAAGAUCUCGUAGUUCCAGCAGGGAAAGGCGUAGAAGGAGGAGCAGGAGUUCUUCCAGAUCGCCAAGAACAUCAAAAACAAUAAAAAGGAAAUCUUCUAGGUCUCCAUCCCCUAGGAGCAGAAAUAAGAAGGAUAAAAAGAGAGAAAAAGAAAGGGACCAUAUCAGUGAAAGGAGAGAGAGAGAACGUUCAACCUCUACAAGAAAGAGUUCUAAUGACAGAGAUGGGAAAGAAAAGGCGGAGAAGAACAGUACUUCACUGAAAGAAAAGGAGCACAACAAAGAACCAGAUUCAAAUGUGGGCAAAGAAGUAGAUGACAAAGAUCCUCCACCAAGGACUGAGGAAAACAAAGUGCAGCAAAAUGGGAAUUGUCAGCCAAAUGAAGAAAACCUCUCUACCAAAACAGAAGCUGUAUAGGACCCACAAGUGCACCUCUAAACACAUGCUGGAAUAAAAUCCAAAGCUUUUAAUGCUCUCAACAAGAUGUUAAAACAGUGAGGAAAUCCAGUAGAGCAUAAAGAUAUGAGCUAACAGCUUUCCUAGUUGUUAGGGGACUUUGUGGCCAUCUUGUUACUGAGUAAGAAAACAAAGCAUGGACAUCAUGAAAAUAACAGGUGUUACCCAAACUCCUCAUCUUCUAAAAUCUGUGCAUUUCCAUGGUGGCUGACACACUUGUCAUGUGGUUUGUUAGUGUUUGCCAAGAACCAUUAUAAAUAAACAGGACGUUGAAGACCUAAAUUUGUAUGAUCCAUAAAGACUGGAGAUAAACAUUGGAGGCUCUUUUAAAAAAUGCUAGUAACUGAAUUUUUGUAUUGUUUUACUUUUUUUUAAAAAACUAUUUCAAUAUAUGCAGAUUGAUGAUGUGCUUGAAUCGGUGCAAAUAUAUACACACCCUUGUAAGUGCAGAGUAUGUAAGAAGUUUUAACAUUUACUUCACAGGAUAUACAGUGAUUGUGUUAAAUUCUCACUAUUGUGUUUUCUUUUGCUCACUGUUUAGGACAGCAGUUUUUCUUUAAAAUAGUUUUACAGAUUAAAAUUGCUUAAAUACGUGGAUUAAAAACCAACUGACAAUGCAUGCUACUAUUCUCUUUCAAAAGAAAGAACAACCGUGUUGAAUACUAAUAAUGUAUUAGUAUUCAGUGUUUAGAAUCAUUGGGUCUCCCCACAAAGUAAGCGUUUCUUUUUGAACUUUCUUGACAUUUCCGAGCUUAUUAUGAACAAUAUUGCAGUGUGUGUUGUCAGCUGAAGGUGGCAAAGGUGCCAUUUAUAAAAAGAAAACUGGGUUUUCAAAAUGGGCUAUGGGAGCACAAGCUGAAGCUUUAGUGCCUUCUACAAUGUGGUAUACUGUUUUCUAGAAUUUUAUAUGUGCUAGUCAUUUUCGAUUCAUACGGAGCUUAGAUGGAUGUUCCAUUCACUCCCAUAGAAAAGUGUGUAAGUGGUAUGUCAGAGCGGCUUCUACUUAGUUCACCUAAGUAAGGGAGAGGGAAGUUCUGUUUUUAAGAAUGACUUUAGAGCUUGAAACAACAGUACAGUUUUGGGACCAUCAGUUUUAUACUGUGAUAAUAGAAAAUGAAGCAGCAUGUUCUUAUUUCACUUAAAGCAAACCCUUUAGUUGUCUUCAUUGGAUGGCCUUAAUUAUUACCUCUCAAUCAUCUUAUAAAUGAUGUGCAGAAAUUGUACUUAAAGAAUACAUGAGGUUAUUUGUUUUAUGUGUAAGAAUAUAUUUACUUGAGUUUAAAAUAUAGGUCAUCCGACAGUGUUAGGUGCACUUUUGGCAGGAAGUAUGCAAGUAGUAAAAUGACAACAUUGAUAAUAUUUUCCCCUAAGCCACAAUUCCUAGUUUCAGGACUUUGGUUGUUAUGUUUCCCCAAAAGUUAUACCUUUAAUUAGCAUGAUGUUAAAAAAUCAAGUAUAAUUAUUUUAAUGCAAUCUGAUACAAUCAAAUUACUCAGUUGCCUUACCUCAUGGAAAGAGUUACUUCUAGAUUUAAAAGCUGAGUAUCACAUCAGUUACUUGGUUUCAACUUGAGUUUUCUUUUAAUGUUAAUACUAUUGAAACUUAGGUAUUUGGUGGAGAAUGGAAAGAAUUGCCCUUAUUGCAAGUAAUGAAGCCUGGUUUGAUUAUGAAGCUGCUUAAUUUACUCUUCAUGUGUUCAUAAUUACUGUGUUUUUUUUCUUUUUGUCACUGUAUACAUUAAAAUUUUUGAAAGUGCUUUACUAUGUAAAGUAUAGAUGGUCAUUUUAAUCAUCCAACCACAUACGGUUGACUGCUAAACUGCUUAUUCUGAUUCAAGAAUGCUUGGGUGCAUAUGGAAAGAUUGGGAAGGAGUGUGUGUCUUACAUCAACAGCUGUCUUAUUUAUGAUAAGUAAGUAGAAUAGAGCAAAUAUUGUUUGAAUCUUUGUCAUUUUUAGUACCAUUUCUGUAAUAAAGCUAAGUAUUUUAGAGGAAAGUAUUUGUUUAUGCAUUUCAAAACAGCAUCUUAGGUUUUAUCCCGUUCUUUUAGUGUGCAUAGAAAAUGUUUUGAUAUGGAGUGCAUGUUUGUGUGGUGUCUAUAAAGCAAUCAUAUAAAGUUUGAGUAUUAUCUUGUACUCUGGACUCAGUUGGUGAUUAGCAUUUAAUUUGGUUCCUGCUGCUAAUUAUUUUUCUUGCUGAUGGUAUUUAUUCAGCUUUAAAAUGAUCAUACUAAUCUUAAAAGGCACUAAUUUGUAAAGAUUGGGCAUGUGUAGGAAUACAAGAGGUCCAGGGAAAGUGAAAUCAUUUUCUUAAGCAGGUUAUUGGAAGCAAAGCUUUCUAGGGUCUAGAGGUACUGGAGAGAGAGAAAGCAUGAGUGUGAGAGAGAGUAUGUGUGUGUGGGUGGGUGGGGUAUUUUCUCUUUGUUCACUUAUAAGAGCUGAUGUGUUUUCAUGUUUAUUGUUUUCUUUUAAGAUAUUUUGUUUUUUCUUUAAAAUUAUCUUUUUCAUCCCAGCUAGAUGUUGUCAGGAAAACUUGAGGUAAGGCCAAGACAAUAGCCAUUUUUACACUUGAUACCUUCUGUACAUCAUGUUUUUCAACUUGUUUAUAUAGCGAGUAUAGUCUUCCUUAAAUUGUAGUUGAUAUUCAUUGUUUUAGACAAAUUCUCUUGGUUCUCUCUUGUUCAGCAGUGCACACUUAACUGGUAAUAAAAGAUAGUCCUUCAUAAGCUGGCCAGUUUGGUGUGAGAAAACAAGUAUAAAUCCUUAACUUCUGCAACCAUCUUCUUAGUUAUUUCCCAUUGAAUAUAAUUAACUUAUAAACACACUAGUCAGCUUGUGAUUUUCUGUUUUUCCAAGUGGUUCAGUCUAUGCUAUGUUGACUUCAGAAGUAGCAGAGGCUUGAAUUUUGGUUUGCCUCAAUUCAAAGUAAAAACUGGCAUUUAGAAUCUUUUUUCUUUUUUUUUUUGAUCAAGAAAAUAACUUCUGUGAUAUUGAUCAUUUUCAGGACCUUCAUUCAUUCUUAUAUAUAUAUUGCUAUCUUAAAGAACCUUGAGCCAAAUCUGCUGUCAUUGAAGAUAUUAUUCAAAUUUAAGGAUUGUAGUAUAUGGUAAUAGACUUUUAAACGUUUUUUAAAAAUCCAUUUGGAAUAGGAGUUCCCGUCAUGGCUCAGUGGUUAGUGCAUCCGACUAGGAACCAUGAGGUUGCGGGUUCGAUCCCUGGCCUUGCUCAGUGGGUUAAGGAUCCGGCAUUGCCAUGAAGUGUGGUGUAGGUUGCAGAUGUGGCUUGGAUCCCGCUUUGCUGUGGCUGUGGCAUAGGCCGGUGGCUACAGCUCCGAUUUGACCCCUAGCCUGGGAACCUCCAUAUGCCGUGGGAGCAGCCCAAGAAAUGGCAAAAAAAAAAAAAAGACAAAAUAUCCAUUUGGAGUAGUAUGAUUUGGUUUAAAUCUUUAGUAGUUAUAAUGAAUUCAUUUGGAGGGAUACAUUGAAUAACAUUUCAAUGAGACAUUUAUUUUCCUUGUGAGGUAGCAUCUAGUUUUAACUGGGUGGGUUAUGAAGUAGAGCCAUUUCCACAAAGUAGUUAUGUUCCUUACGUGUUUUAAAUAUUUAAAAAUUUUUUUCACUACCUAUAUACGUAGUAUUUUCUCAUGUUUAUUUACUAAUGUAGUAGUCAUUUAAAAUUGUUUAUUUUCAAAUUUCAGGACGUAGUGCUCUUAAAAGGGCUAAAUUAUAUUUCUGGAAGCUGGAGUCAACUAUAUAUGUAAUAAAAUAAUCUUUUAAAAUAAAAUUGACUUCCUUACU